CCUACGGGGGGCUGCAGUCGAGAAUCAUUCACAAUGGGGGAAACCCUGAUGGUGCGACGCCGCGUGGGGGAAUGAAGGUCUUCGGAUUGUAAACCCCUGUCAUGUGGGAGCAAAUUAAAAAGAUAGUACCACAAGAGGAAGAGACGGCUAACUCUGUGCCAGCAGCCGCGGUAAUACAGAGGUCUCAAGCGUUGUUCGGAAUCACUGGGCGGAAAGCGUGCGUAGGCUGUUUCGUAAGUCGUGUGUGAAAGGCGCGGGCUCAACCCGCGGACGGCACAUGAUACUGCGAGACUAGAGUAAUGGAGGGGGAACCGGAAUUCGCGGUGUAGCAGUGAAAUGCGUAGAUAUGGAGAGGAACACUCGUGGCGAAGGCGGGUUCCUGGACAUUAACUGACGCUGAGGCACGAAGGCCAGGGGAGCGAAAGGGAUUAGAUACCCUAGUAGUC
Molecule: ribosomal RNA, 446 nt
Filed under: uncultured bacterium
Lineage: Bacteria
Description: partial 16S ribosomal RNA
Rfam family: Bacterial small subunit ribosomal RNA
Source: RNAcentral